RNAcentral lists this ribosomal RNA (274 nucleotides) under uncultured bacterium. RNAcentral's name for it is "partial 16S ribosomal RNA". It matches the Rfam family "Bacterial small subunit ribosomal RNA", at positions 523 to 796 of the family's 1533-position model. The record is from RNAcentral.
AUACGGAGGGUGCAAGCGUUACUCGGAAUCACUAGGCGUAAAGCGCGCGCAGGCGGGCUGAUAAGUUGGAUGUGAAAGCCUACGGCUCAACCGUAGAACUGCAUCCAAAACCGUCAGUCUAGAGUGUGGGAGAGGAAGAUGGAAUUAGUUGUGUAGGGGUAAAAUCUGUAGAGAUAACUAGGAAUACCAAAAGCGAAGGCAAUCUUCUGGAACACUACUGACGCUGAGGCGCGAAGGCGUGGGGAGCAAACAGGAUUAGAAACCCCAGUAGUCC